AUUUAAGUAGUUUAUAUAAAAUAUAGGUUUGUGGUUCCUAAGAAGUAUUUUGCCUUAAAUU
This 61-nucleotide transfer RNA is filed under the name Paramacrosteles nigromaculatus. RNAcentral describes it as "tRNA-His". Lineage: Eukaryota; Metazoa; Arthropoda; Insecta; Hemiptera; Cicadellidae. The record is from RNAcentral.